RNAcentral lists this ribosomal RNA (341 nucleotides) under uncultured Anaerolineaceae bacterium. RNAcentral describes it as "bacterial SSU rRNA". It matches the Rfam family "Bacterial small subunit ribosomal RNA", at positions 1027 to 1382 of the family's 1533-position model. The record is from RNAcentral. Lineage: Bacteria; Bacillati; Chloroflexota; Anaerolineae; Anaerolineales; Anaerolineaceae.
AGCUUGUACAGGUGCUGCAUGGCUGUCGUCAGCUCGUGUCGUGAGAUGUCGGUUAAGUCGCUAACGAGCGCAACCCUCGCUGUGUGUUACAAGCGUCACACGGAACUGCCGGUCAUAACCGGAGGAAGGUGGGGAUGACGUCAAGUCAGCAUGGCCUUUAUAUCCUGGGCUACACACACGCUACAAUGGGAAGGGACAAUAGGUUGCGAAGCCGCGAGGCGGAGCCAAUCCAGCAAAACUUACCCUCAGUUCAGAUUGCAGGCUGCAACUCGCCUGCAUGAAGUUGGAGUUGCUAGUAAACGCAGGUCAGCCAUACUGCGUUGAAUACGUUCCCGGGGCUU